Stegostoma tigrinum is the source of this 295-nucleotide long non-coding RNA. RefSeq lists it as uncharacterized. NCBI's taxonomy places the organism in Eukaryota, Metazoa, Chordata, Chondrichthyes, Orectolobiformes, Stegostomatidae. The record is from RefSeq and is a predicted model, not a curated record. The transcript has 3 exons.
ACUAUGCAACACUGAUUGCGAGGUGGCUAACGAUGCAACAGAACUAUGGUGGUGGAUUUCACUCGACGCAGGACACAAUCAUUGCCUUGGAAGCUUCAUGACGAUGCGACAUUGCAUUUCUGAAGAGGGAAGAAGAAAUCAAUAUGCAAAUUCAAUUCCAUGUUUUUGGAAGUCCCAUUGAGAACACGAUUCAUUUGCGCCGGCAUAAUGCUCUGACUGAGAAAGAAUUGAAGUUUCCACUUGGAAGAAAGAUUCACAUCAAAUUGACUGGUCAAGGAAAUGGGACACUGACUGA